RNAcentral lists this ribosomal RNA (520 nucleotides) under uncultured Glomeromycotina. RNAcentral describes it as "SSU rRNA". It matches the Rfam family "Eukaryotic small subunit ribosomal RNA", at positions 569 to 1090 of the family's 1831-position model. The record is from RNAcentral. Lineage: Eukaryota; Fungi; Glomeromycota.
AGCAGCCGCGGUAAUUCCAGCUCCAAUAGCGUAUAUUAAAGUUGUUGCAGUUAAAAAGCUCGUAGUUGAAUUUCGGGGUUAGUAGGUUGGUCGUGCCACUGGUAUGUACUGGUUCUACUGAUCCCUCCUUCUUGUAGAACCGUAAUGCCAUUCACUUGGUGUUGCGGGGAAACAGGACUGUUACUUUGAAAAAAUUAGAGUGUUUAAAGCAGGUUAACGCUUGAAUACAUUAGCAUGGAAUAAUGAAAUAGGACGUUCGAUCCUAUUUUGUUGGUUUCUAGGAUUGACGUAAUGAUUAAUAGGGAUAGUUGGGGGCAUUAGUAUUCAAUUGUCAGAGGUGAAAUUCUUGGAUUUAUUGAAGACUGACUACUGCGAAAGCAUUUGCCAAGGAUGUUUUCAUUAAUCAAGAACGAAAGUUAGGGGAUCGAAGACGAUCAGAUACCGUCGUAGUCUUAACCAUAAACUAUGCCGACUAGGGAUCGGAUGAUGUUAAUUUUUUAAUGACUCAUUCGGCGCCUUA